GACGAACGCUGGCGGCGUGCCUAAUACAUGCAAGUAGAACGCUGAAGAGAGGAGCUUGCUCUUCUUGGAUGAGUUGCGAACGGGUGAGUAACGCGUAGGUAACCUGCCUGGUAGCGGGGGAUAACUAUUGGAAACGAUAGCUAAUACCGCAUAAAAUUGAUUAUUGCAUGAUAAUUAAUUGAGAGAUGCAACUGCAUCACUACCAGAUGGACCUGCGUUGUAUUAGCUAGUUGGUGAGGUAACGGCUCACCAAGGCGACGAUACAUAGCCGACCUGAGAGGGUGAUCGGCCACACUGGGACUGAGACACGGCCCAGACUCCUACGGGAGGCAGCAGUAGGGAAUCUUCGGCAAUGGGGGGAACCCUGACCGAGCAACGCCGCGUGAGUGAAGAAGGUUUUCGGAUCGUAAAGCUCUGUUGUAAGAGAAGAACGGGUGUGGGAGUGGAAAGUUCACACUGUGACGGUAUCUUACCAGAAAGGGACGGCUAACUACGUG
RNAcentral lists this ribosomal RNA (497 nucleotides) under uncultured bacterium. RNAcentral describes it as "partial 16S ribosomal RNA". It matches the Rfam family "Bacterial small subunit ribosomal RNA", at positions 28 to 507 of the family's 1533-position model. The record is from RNAcentral.